AGUGAACGCUGGCGGUAGGCCUAACACAUGCAAGUCGAACGGCAGCACAGAGGAGCUUGCUCCUUGGGUGGCGAGUGGCGGACGGGUGAGGAAUACAUCGGAAUCUACUCUGUCGUGGGGGAUAACGUAGGGAAACUUACGCUAAUACCGCAUACGACCUACGGGUGAAAGCAGGGGACCUUCGGGCCUUGCGCGAUUGAAUGAGCCGAUGUCGGAUUAGCUAGUUGGCGGGGUAAAGGCCCACCAAGGCGACGAUCCGUAGCUGGUCUGAGAGGAUGAUCAGCCACACUGGAACGGAGACACGGUCCAGACUCCUACGGGAGGCAGCAGUGGGGAGUAUUGGACAAUGGGCGCAAGCCUGAUCCAGCCAUACCGCGUGGGUGAAGAAGGCCUUCGGGUUGUAAAGCCCUUUUGUUGGGAAAGAAAUCCAGCUGGCUAAUACCCGGUUGGGACGACGGUACCCAAAGAAUAAGCACCGGCUAACUUCGUGCCAGCCGCCGCGGUAA
Molecule: ribosomal RNA, 506 nt
Filed under: uncultured bacterium
Lineage: Bacteria
Description: partial 16S ribosomal RNA
Rfam family: Bacterial small subunit ribosomal RNA
Source: RNAcentral